This 207-nucleotide unclassified non-coding RNA is filed under the name Hevea brasiliensis (rubber tree). The record is from RNAcentral. Lineage: Eukaryota; Viridiplantae; Streptophyta; Magnoliopsida; Malpighiales; Euphorbiaceae.
UGGCUUCCUCAUCCAGAUAGGCUUUUGCUUGUUCACCAAAUCCCACUCAUGAGACACUUCCUUGAUCUUCUUAGUUUUCUUUCCCUUCUUCUCCUCCUCUUCAUCCACUUCUUCCACUUUGCCCUCUUCAUCCUUCUUCUCCUCCUCUUCAUCCUCAUCAUCAGAGAUGACUUUCUCUAAGGUCUUCUCUACCCAAAGGGAGAUGGG